This 141-nucleotide ribosomal RNA is filed under the name Cladosporium cladosporioides. RNAcentral describes it as "5.8S ribosomal RNA". It matches the Rfam family "5.8S ribosomal RNA". From Rfam's summary of the family: 5.8S ribosomal RNA (5.8S rRNA) is a component of the large subunit of the eukaryotic ribosome. RNAcentral also lists the same sequence under 3 other names. Lineage: Eukaryota; Fungi; Ascomycota; Dothideomycetes; Cladosporiales; Cladosporiaceae. The record is from RNAcentral.
AAACUUUUAACAACGGAUCUCUUGGUUCUGGCAUCGAUGAAGAACGCAGCGAAAUGCGAUAAGUAAUGUGAAUUGCAGAAUUCAGUGAAUCAUCGAAUCUUUGAACGCACAUUGCGCCCCCUGGUAUUCCGGGGGGCAUGC